UGAGGAAUAUUGGUCAAUGGGCGAGAGCCUGAACCAGCCAAGUAGCGUGCAGGAUGACGGCCCUAUGGGUUGUAAACUGCUUUUAUGUGGGGAUAAAGUGCGUGACGUGUCAUGCAUUGCAGGUACCACAUGAAUAAGGACCGGCUAAUUCCGUGCCAGCAGCCGCGGUAAUACGGAAGGUCCGGGCGUUAUCCGGAUUUAUUGGGUUUAAAGGGAGCGUAGGCUGUCUAUUAAGCGUGUUGUGAAAUAUACCGGCUCAACCGGUGGCUUGCAGCGCGAACUGGUCGACUUGAGUAUGCAGGAAGUUGGCGGAAUUCAUGGUGUAGCGGUGAAAUGCUUAGAUAUCAUGACGAACUCCGAUUGCGCAGGCAGCUUACUGUAGCAUAACUGACGCUGAUGCUCGAAAGUGCGGGUAUCAAACAGG
Molecule: ribosomal RNA, 424 nt
Filed under: Fusobacteriota bacterium
Lineage: Bacteria; Fusobacteriati; Fusobacteriota
Description: Fusobacteria bacterium partial 16S ribosomal RNA
Rfam family: Bacterial small subunit ribosomal RNA
Source: RNAcentral